UCCACGCCCUAAACGAUGAAUGCUAGUCGUCGGGGGAGCUAGUCUCUUCGGUGAUGCACUUAACAGAUUAAGCAUUCCGCCUGGGGAGUACGGUCGCAAGAUUAAAACUCAAAGGAAUAGACGGGGACCCGCACAAGUGGUGGAGCAUGUGGUUUAAUUCGAAAAUACGCGAAGAACCUUACCUAGCCUUGACAUUGAAGAAAUAGACCAGAGAUGGACUAGUGCCCUUCGGG
This 233-nucleotide ribosomal RNA is filed under the name uncultured bacterium. RNAcentral describes it as "partial 16S ribosomal RNA". It matches the Rfam family "Bacterial small subunit ribosomal RNA", at positions 794 to 1024 of the family's 1533-position model. The record is from RNAcentral.